UACGGAGGAUCCAAGCGUUAUCCGGAAUCAUUGGGUUUAAAGGGUCCGUAGGCGGUCUUAUAAGUCAGUGGUGAAAGCCCAUCGCUCAACGAUGGAACUGCCAUUGAUACUGUAGGACUUGAAUUUUUGUGAAGUAACUAGAAUAUGUAGUGUAGCGGUGAAAUGCUUAGAUAUUACAUGGAAUACCAAUUGCGAAGGCAGGUUACUAACAAACGAUUGACGCUGAUGGACGAAAGCGUGGGGAGCGAACAGGAUUAGAAACCCGAGUAGUCC
Molecule: ribosomal RNA, 273 nt
Filed under: uncultured Flavobacterium sp.
Lineage: Bacteria; Pseudomonadati; Bacteroidota; Flavobacteriia; Flavobacteriales; Flavobacteriaceae
Description: partial 16S ribosomal RNA
Rfam family: Bacterial small subunit ribosomal RNA
Source: RNAcentral